AAGGGAGAGGAAUAAGUAGAAAUCUACCCUCGGAUCGGGGAUAGCGGCGGGAAACUGCCGGUAAUACCCGAUAACGUCUUUGGACCAAAGGUGUGAUUCCGUCUGAGGAUGAGUCUACUUCCUAUUAGCUAGUUGGCGGGGUAAUGGCCCACCAAGGCAACGAUGGGUAGCAGGUGUGAGAGCAUGACCUGCCUCAUUGGGACUGAGACACUGCCCAGACACCUACGGGUGGCUGCAGUCGAGAAUCUUCGGCAAUGGACGAAAGUCUGACCGAGCGACGCCGCGUGCGGGAUGAAGGCCUUCGGGUUGUAAACCGCUGUCGGAGGGGAACAAAUGUACGGGGGUUCUCCCCUGUAUUUGAGUGAACCUAGGAGGAAGGAGAGGCUAAGCUCGUGCCAGCAGCCGCGGUAAGACGAGCUCUCCGAACGUUAUUCGGUAUCACUGGGCUUAAAGAGUUCGUAGGCGGUCUGGUAGGUGAGGUGUGAAAUCCCCCGGCUCAACCGGGGAACUGCGCUUCAAACCGCCGGACUUGAGGGAGACAGAGGUGGGCGGAACAGAUGGUGGAGCGGUGAAAUGCGUUGA
Molecule: ribosomal RNA, 582 nt
Filed under: uncultured bacterium
Lineage: Bacteria
Description: bacterial SSU rRNA
Rfam family: Bacterial small subunit ribosomal RNA
Source: RNAcentral